RNAcentral lists this ribosomal RNA (497 nucleotides) under uncultured bacterium. RNAcentral describes it as "partial 16S ribosomal RNA". It matches the Rfam family "Bacterial small subunit ribosomal RNA", at positions 28 to 507 of the family's 1533-position model. The record is from RNAcentral.
GAUGAACGCUGGCGGCGUGCCUAAUACAUGCAAGUCGAGCGAACGGACGAGAAGCUUGCUUCUCUGAUGUUAGCGGCGGACGGGUGCGUAACACGUGGAUAACCUACCUAUAAGACUGGGAUAACUUCGGGAAACCGUAGCUAAUACCGGAUAAUAUUUUGAACCGCAUGGUUCAAAAGUGAAAGACGGUCUUGCUGUCACUUAUAGAUGGAUCCGCGCUGCAUUAGCUAGUUGGUAAGGUAACGGCUUACCAAGGCAACGAUGCAUAGCCGACCUGAGAGGGUGAUCGGCCACACUGGAACUGAGACACGGUCCAGACUCCUACGGGAGGCAGCAGUAGGGAAUCUUCCGCAAUGGGCGAAAGCCUGACGGAGCAACGCCGCGUGAGUGAUGAAGGUCUUCGGAUCGUAAAACUCUGUUAUUAGGGAAGAACAUAUGUGUAAGUAACUGUGCACAUCUUGACGGUACCUAAUCAGAAAGCCACGGCUAACUACGUG